This 252-nucleotide ribosomal RNA is filed under the name uncultured bacterium. RNAcentral's name for it is "partial 16S ribosomal RNA". It matches the Rfam family "Bacterial small subunit ribosomal RNA", at positions 524 to 776 of the family's 1533-position model. The record is from RNAcentral.
UACGUAGGGGGCAAGCGUUGUCCGGAAUUAUUGGGCGUAAAGCGCGCGCAGGCGGUCGGCUUAGUCGGGUGGUUAAGCCCGGGGCUUAACCCCGGGUCACACCGGAAACGGGUCGACUGGAGUGCAGAAGAGGAGAGUGGAAUUCCACGUGUAGCGGUGAAAUGCGUAGAGAUGUGGAGGAACACCAGUGGCGAAGGCGACUCUCUGGGCUGUAACUGACGCUGAGGCGCGAAAGCGUGGGGAGCAAACAGG